This 510-nucleotide long non-coding RNA is filed under the name Homo sapiens (human). Its description in RNAcentral is "HSALNT0280524". The record is from RNAcentral. Lineage: Eukaryota; Metazoa; Chordata; Mammalia; Primates; Hominidae.
CUCUUGGAUUGUUUCACCGGAUUCCUUGGAUUCCUUGGAUUGGGUUUCAGCUUUCUCCUGAGUCUCAAUGAGCUUCAUUGCCAUCCAGAUUCUGAAUUCGAUGUCUGUCAUUUCAGCCUGGUUAAAAACCAUUGUAGGAAAGCUAAUGUGAUUAUUUGAAGGAAUUAUGCUGGAGCAGUGCUGGAAAGAAUGACAGGAAGCGUUCUUCCUUGUACUCUUCAAGAAAGAAGAAUGACCCAGGACUCUGGAGAUGACUGCAACAAGAAAGAGGAGAAAGUGGUGAAGUCUGAUGGCAUGAGAUGCAAAGCCAAAGGACAUUAGGAAGGAGGAAGAAAUUUCUGGAAGAAUCAAUGAGGAGCAAUGAAACAAUCAAUGGGAACUAAUAUCAGAAAUGUGAGACAGCAGGGGUAGAAAUACCUACCUUGAAGAGUUGUUUUGAGGAUUAGUCAAAGCAACAUACAGGAAGUUCCUGGCACAUGGGCAUUAAUUCCAUCAAGAGGCCGGGCGCGG